Molecule: ribosomal RNA, 441 nt
Filed under: uncultured bacterium
Lineage: Bacteria
Description: partial 16S ribosomal RNA
Rfam family: Bacterial small subunit ribosomal RNA
Source: RNAcentral
CCUACGGGGGGCAGCAGUGGGGAAUAUUGCACAAUGGGGGAAACCCUGAUCCAGCGACGCCGCGUGAGCGAGGAAGUCUUUCGGUAUUUAAAGCUCUAUCAGCAGGGCCGAAAAAAGACGGUACUUGACUAAGAAGCCCCGGCUAACUACGUGCCAGCAGCCGCGGUAAUCCGGAGGGGGCACGCGUGAUCCGGAUUUCCUGGGUGUAACGGGAGCGUAGAGGGCAAGGCAAGCUAGAGGUGAAAGGGCAGGGCUCAACCCUGUACAUGCUUUUGGAACUGGGGUGCUAGAGUGCAGGAGAGGUAAGUGGAAUGCCUAGUGUAGCGGUGAAAUGCGUAGAUAUUAGGAGGAACACCAGUGGCGAAGGCGGCUUACUGGACUGUAACUGACGUUGAGGCUCGAAAGCGUGGGGAGCAAACAGGAUUAGAUACCCCAGUAGUC